RNAcentral lists this ribosomal RNA (308 nucleotides) under uncultured fungus. Its description in RNAcentral is "eukaryotic LSU rRNA". The stretch from base 1 to 52 matches the Rfam family "5.8S ribosomal RNA", at positions 103 to 154 of the family's 154-position model. Lineage: Eukaryota; Fungi. The record is from RNAcentral.
AACGCACCUUGCGCCCUUUGGUAUUCCGAAGGGCAUGCCUGUUUGAGUGUCAUUAAAUUAUCAACCUUGCUCGCUUUUACCGGCUUGAGUUAGGCUUGGAUGUGAGGGCUUUGCUGGCCUCCUUCAGUGGAUGGUCUGCUCCCUUUAAAUGCAUUAGUGGGAUCUCUUGUGGACCGUCACUUGGUUGUGAUAAUUAUCUACGCCGUUCUGUGAAGCAUAACUAUGGGACUCGGCUUCCAAUAGUCCUUCACUGGACAAUAUCUUUGACCUUUGACCUCAAAUCAGGUAGGAUUACCCGCUGAACUUAA